This 537-nucleotide ribosomal RNA is filed under the name uncultured Pseudomonadota bacterium. Its description in RNAcentral is "bacterial SSU rRNA". It matches the Rfam family "Bacterial small subunit ribosomal RNA", at positions 355 to 879 of the family's 1533-position model. The record is from RNAcentral. Lineage: Bacteria; Pseudomonadati; Pseudomonadota.
UGGGGAAUUUUUGGACAAUGGGGGAAACCCUGAUCCAGCCAUGCCGCGUGAGUGAAGAAGGCCUUCGGGUUGUAAAGACUCUUUCUAGCCGGAACGAAACGGUCACGGUUAAUACCCGUGACUACUGACGGUACCGGAAGAAGAAGCACCGGCUAACUACGUGCCAGCAGCCGCGGUAAUACGUAGGGUGCGAGCGUUAAUCGGAAUUACUGGGCGUAAAGCGUGCGCAGGCGGUUUUGUAAGUCAGAUGUGAAAUCCCCGGGCUUAACCUGGGAACUGCGUUUGAAACUACAAGGCUAGAGUGUGGCAGAGGGGGGGUGGAAUUCCACGUGUAGCAGUGAAAUGCGUAGAGAUGUGGAGGAACACCGAUGGCGAAGGCAGCCCCCCUGGGUUAACACUGACGCUCAGGCACGAAAGCGUGGGGAGCAAACAGGAUUAGAUACCCCUGGGUAUCCACGCCCUAAACGAUGUCAACUAGUUGUCGGGUCUUAACGGACUUGGUAACGCAGCUAACGCGUGAAGUUGACCGCCUGGGGG